UUCAAAACCCUAUUCUCAUUCUCUCUAUUCGGCCAAUGGCGCCGGCGAGCUCGCGCAGUGGCUCUGCCACAUUCUGCUGUAGCUCCGCUGUGUCAGAAGGCCCAAAAUCUGAUUUCCCCCUUUUUAGAUCCCUUUCCUUUAAAAAAAAGUAAUAACCCGGCUUGGGUUCUCUGCAAAUUGAAACGAAAGGGCAAAGGAAUGGCCUUUCGGCCUUUGUUUUUCCGUUUGCGUCCCGAGCGCACCCCUGGAUGGUUUUUGUGGCCUUGACGAACGGAGGGAACCUCCGACAGUGGCGCACGACCAGAUCUCAGGUACGUUUCAACUCCUUUCCCUUUUAUUAUUAUUUUUUAUCUGUAAUAUAAUGCAAAAAAAAAAAUCUAAAAAGAAACAGAAGAAAGAAAAAAUAUCAACCUUUUAAUUUUUUCCUUGAUUGAUCUUUGUUCUCUUGUUAUUCUGCUGUUUUUUGUGUUGUGAAAAUACUUGCUUUUUUUUAUUGAUUUCGAAUCCUCCUUUUUACAAUAUUCGAGUCUGCUUUUAUAGAAGAUAAUGGGAAAAAAAAGGGAAAGAAAUCUCUAAUGCAUCUUGCUGAUUUUUCUCCGAUUUCCAUGUUAUUCUGCCGAUUCUGUUUUGUUGCCUUUCUUGUCGUGCAGGUGAAGGCGUGGAGAUUCGGCUCGUGCGGGUCUUGGCUGUGGCGGCUGAAGCUUACCCUAAAAACCCUAGGGAUUUCUGACACUGUUUUGGGCCACAUUGUAAUUGGGCCACUAGGGUUUGUAAUUUUGGGCCUAUUUUAUUGUAAAUGGACUGCUACAUUUGGAUCUCUUUUUUUAUUAUUGGGUUUUAGUAGACCCGGGGUAAAAUCAGGUAUUACAAU
Molecule: long non-coding RNA, 871 nt
Filed under: Gossypium barbadense (sea-island cotton)
Lineage: Eukaryota; Viridiplantae; Streptophyta; Magnoliopsida; Malvales; Malvaceae
Description: long non-coding RNA (GBAR_LNC015688)
Source: RNAcentral